GAAAUGCGAUAAGUAAUGUGAAUUGCAGAAUUCAGUGAAUCAUCGAAUCUUUGAACGCACAUUGCGCCCGGCAGUAAUCUGCCGGGCAUGCCUGUCCGAGCGUCAUUUCAACCCUCGAACCUCCGUUUCCUCAGGGAAGCCCAGGGUCGGUGUUGGGGCGCUACGGCGAGUCCUCGCGACCCCCGUAGGCCCUGAAAUACAGUGGCGGUCCCGCCGCGGUUGCCUUCUGCGUAGUAAGUCUCUUUUGCAAGCUCGCAUUGGGUCCCGGCGGAGGCCUGCCGUCAAACCACCUAACAACUCCAGAUGGUUUGACCUCGGAUCAGGUAGGGUUACCCGCUGAACUUAA
This 346-nucleotide unclassified non-coding RNA is filed under the name uncultured Pseudallescheria. RNAcentral's name for it is "partial contains 5.8S ribosomal RNA, internal transcribed spacer 2, and large subunit ribosomal RNA". The stretch from base 1 to 105 matches the Rfam family "5.8S ribosomal RNA", at positions 50 to 154 of the family's 154-position model. Lineage: Eukaryota; Fungi; Ascomycota; Sordariomycetes; Microascales; Microascaceae. The record is from RNAcentral.